AGUGAACGCUGGCGGCGUGCUUAACACAUGCAAGUCGAACGAGUAAGUGCUGUAGCAAUACAGAUUACUGCUAGUGGCAGACGGGUGAGUAAUACAUGGGAAUCUUCCUUGAAGUCUGGAAUAACUGUUGGAAACGACAGCUAAUACCGGAUGAUACCUUAGGGUCAAAGAUUUAUCGCUUCGAGAUGAGCCCAUGCAAGAUUAGCUAGUUGGUAGGGUAAUGGCCUACCAAGGCGAUGAUCUUUAGCUGGUCUGAGAGGAUGAUCAGCCACACUGGAACUGAGACACGGUCCAGACUCCUACGGGAGGCAGCAGUGGGGAAUAUUGGACAAUGGGCGAAAGCCUGAUCCAGCGACGCCGCGUGAGUGAUGAAGGC
RNAcentral lists this ribosomal RNA (376 nucleotides) under uncultured bacterium. RNAcentral's name for it is "bacterial SSU rRNA". It matches the Rfam family "Bacterial small subunit ribosomal RNA", at positions 29 to 415 of the family's 1533-position model. The record is from RNAcentral.